This 267-nucleotide ribosomal RNA is filed under the name uncultured Lactobacillales bacterium. Its description in RNAcentral is "partial 16S ribosomal RNA". It matches the Rfam family "Bacterial small subunit ribosomal RNA", at positions 80 to 339 of the family's 1533-position model. The record is from RNAcentral. Lineage: Bacteria; Bacillati; Bacillota; Bacilli; Lactobacillales.
AUGGAUUACCAGUGAGCGGCGGACGGGUGAGUAACACGUGGGCAACCUGUCCUGGAGUCGGGGAUAACAUUUGGGAACAGAUGCUAAUACCGCAUAAUAAUCAAAACCACAUGGGUUUUGAUUUCAAAGAUGGCUUCGGCUAUCACUCCAGGAUGGGCCCGCGGUGCAUUAGCUAGUUGGUAAGGUAACGGCUUACCAAGGCGAUGAUGCAUAGCCGAGUUGAGAGACUGAACGGCCACAUUGGGACUGAGACACGGCCCAAACUCC